CGGGGCAGGACGCUGGCUGCGGCCGUGGCGGCGACGACUACUCAGAGGACGAGGGCGACAGCAGCGUGUUCAGGGCGGCUGUGGAGGUGUUCGGGAAGCUGAAGGACCUAAACUGCCCCUUCCUCGAGGGUCUGUAUAUCACAGAGCCAAAGACAAUUCAGGAACUGCUGUGCAGCCCCUCAAAGUACCGCUUGGAGAUCCUAGAGUGGAUGUGUACCCGAAAUGACGAAGCUGGGCCAUGAGCUGAUGCUGUGUGCGCCAGAUGACCAGGAGCUCCUCAAGGGCUGUGCCUGCGCCCAGAAGCAGCUACACUUCAUGGACCAGUUGCUCGAUGCCAUCCGGAGCCUGACUAUUGGGUGCUCCAGUUGCUCGAGCCUGAUGGAGCACUUCGAGGACACCAGGGAGAAGAAUGAGGCCUUGCUGGGGGAGCUCUUCUCUAGCCCCCACCUGCAGAUGCUCCUGAAUCCAGAGUGCGACCCGUGGCCCCUGGACAUGCAGCCCCUCCUCAACAAGCAGAGUGAUGACUGGCAGUGGGCCAGUGCCUCUGCCAAGUCCGAGGAGGAGGAGAAGCUGGCGGAGCUUGCCAGGCAGCUGCAGGAGAGUGCUGCCAAGUUGCAUGCGCUUAGAACGGAGUCUACGACGACGAGCUGGGCGAGUGCUGCCAGCGCCCAGGCCCUGACCUCCACCCGUGCGGCCCCAUCAUCCAGGCCACGCACCAGAAUCUGACUUCCUACAGCCAAGUAAGGGUGCCCUUCCCCUCCCCUCUAACCGCCCCCUCCCCUGUUCACUCAGACUGAGAGCUUAUAUCCUGCUUGGG
This 817-nucleotide small RNA is filed under the name Pan troglodytes (chimpanzee). RNAcentral describes it as "processed transcript". Lineage: Eukaryota; Metazoa; Chordata; Mammalia; Primates; Hominidae. The record is from RNAcentral.